GAUGAAGAACGCAGCGAAAUGCGAUAAGUAAUGUGAAUUGCAGAAUUCAGUGAAUCAUCGAAUCUUUGAACGCACAUUGCGCCCCUUGGUAUUCCGAGGGGCAUGCCUGUUCGAGCGUCAUUUGUACCUUCAAGCUCUGCUUGGUGUUGGGUGUUUGUCCUUGCUCUAGUGGCGGGACUCGCCUUAAAGUAAUUGGCAGCCAGUGUUUUGGUUUUGAAGCGCAGCACAAGUCGCGAUUCAAGUCUAUACGCUAGUUUCCACAAGUCUUUUAUCACUUUUGACCUCGGAUCAGGUAGGGAUACCCGCUGAACUUAAGCAUAUCAAUAAGCGGAGGA
RNAcentral lists this unclassified non-coding RNA (335 nucleotides) under soil metagenome. RNAcentral describes it as "partial contains 5.8S ribosomal RNA, internal transcribed spacer 2, and large subunit ribosomal RNA". The stretch from base 1 to 120 matches the Rfam family "5.8S ribosomal RNA", at positions 35 to 154 of the family's 154-position model. The record is from RNAcentral.